RNAcentral lists this ribosomal RNA (468 nucleotides) under uncultured bacterium. RNAcentral's name for it is "partial 16S ribosomal RNA". It matches the Rfam family "Bacterial small subunit ribosomal RNA", at positions 28 to 507 of the family's 1533-position model. The record is from RNAcentral.
GACGAACGCUGGCGGCGUGCUUAACACAUGCAAGUCGAACGGAAAGGCCCUGCUUUUGUGGGGUGCUCGAGUGGCGAACGGGUGAGUAACACGUGAGUAACCUGCCCUUGACUUUGGGAUAACUUCAGGAAACUGGGGCUAAUACCGGAUAGGAGCUCCUGCUGCAUGGUGGGGGUUGGAAAGUUUCGGCGGUUGGGGAUGGACUCGCGGCUUAUCAGCUUGUUGGUGGGGUAGUGGCUUACCAAGGCUUUGACGGGUAGCCGGCCUGAGAGGGUGACCGGCCACAUGGGGACUGAGAUACGGCCCAGACUCCAACGGGAGGCAGCAGUGGGGAAUAUUGCACAAUGGGCGGAAGCCUGAUGAAGCAACGCCGCGUGCGGGAUGACGGCCUUCGGGUUGUAAACCGCUUUCGCCUGUGACGAAGCGUGAGUGACGGUAAUGGGUAAAGAAGCACCGGCUAACUACGUG